Molecule: ribosomal RNA, 200 nt
Filed under: uncultured bacterium
Lineage: Bacteria
Description: partial 16S ribosomal RNA
Rfam family: Bacterial small subunit ribosomal RNA
Source: RNAcentral
AACGAACGCUGGCGGCAGGCUUAACACAUGCAAGUCGAGCGCCCCGCAAGUGGAGCGGCAGACGGGUGAGUAACACGUGGGAAUCUACCCAUCCCUGCGGAACAACUCCGGGAAACUGGAGCUAAUACCGCAAAUGCCCUACGGGGAAAGAUUUAUCGGGGAUGGAUGAGCCCGCGUUGGAUUAGCUAGUUGGUGGGGUA